AGAGUUUGAUCAUGGCUCAGGAUGAACGCUAGCGGCAGGCUUAAUACAUGCAAGUCGAGGGGCAGCACAGGUAGCAAUACUGGGUGGCGACCGGCAAACGGGUGCGGAACACGUACGCAACCUUCCUUUAAGCGGGGAAUAGCCCAGGGAAACUUGGAUUAAUACCCCAUAAGAUUAUGGUGUGGCACCACACAGUAAUUAAAGCUACGGCACUUAAAGAUGGGCGUGCGGCUGAUUAGGUAGUUGGCGGGGUAACGGCCCACCAAGCCAACGAUCAGUAACUGGUGUGAGAGCACGACCAGUCACACGGGCACUGAGACACGGGCCCGACUCCUACGGGAGGCAGCAGUAAGGAAUAUUGGUCAAUGGACGCAAGUCUGAACCAGCCAUGCCGCGUGGAGGAUGAAGGCCCUCUGGGUUGUAAACUUCUUUUAUCUGGGAAGAAACCCAUCUUUUCUAAGGUGGUUGACGGUACCAGUUGAAUAAGCACCGGCUAACUCCGUGCCAGCAGCCGCGGUAAUACGGAGGGUGCAAGCGUUAUCCGGAUUCACUGGGUUUAAAGGGUGCGUAGGUGGGCAGGUAAGUCAGUGGUGAAAUCUCCGGGCUUAACCCGGAAACUGCCGUUGAUACUAUCUGUCUUGAAUGUAGUGGAGGUGAGCGGAAUAUGUCAUGUAGCGGUGAAAUGCUUAGAUAUGACAUAGAACACCCAUUGCGAAGGCAGCUCGCUACACUAUUAUUGACACUGAGGCACGAAAGCGUGGGGAUCAAACAGGAUUAGAUACCCUAGUAGUCC
This 793-nucleotide ribosomal RNA is filed under the name uncultured bacterium. RNAcentral's name for it is "bacterial SSU rRNA". It matches the Rfam family "Bacterial small subunit ribosomal RNA", at positions 8 to 796 of the family's 1533-position model. The record is from RNAcentral.